Molecule: long non-coding RNA, 2707 nt
Organism: Ornithorhynchus anatinus (platypus)
Lineage: Eukaryota; Metazoa; Chordata; Mammalia; Monotremata; Ornithorhynchidae
Exons: 6
Source: RefSeq, a predicted model, not a curated record
ACAGUGCCUGGCCCAUAGUAAGCACUUAACAAAUGCCAUUAUUAUUAUUCUCUGAAAAACUCUUCACUCUUUUUGUUCAGAAGCUUCCGGUUCUGCCCCCAAAUCUGCAGGAGUGAAACCAACAGCUUCUCCGCUCGCGAGAGCGGCUGCCCCGGCACCCCUCCCGGUCGGCACCCGGGCACAGGACUUCGCCUUUGUCGGAAGUGCACCUGGACAGCCCACACGCUUCGCCCGACGAGACCGACCAGGCGUGCCAGGGCCUAGCUGUUAUCCUUAGAAACAAUGGGAGAGAGAGAGAUGUGGCUGAGCGAUUUCCCGCCGGUGGGAGAAUCUCCAAGGACACCCAGGGCCAGCUUGGAUCCAGGCGGCCGGGGACCGCCGUCGGGACUAAGCGUGACGCAGGAAGGUGCGGGAGAUUAUCCAAGAGGAGGUUCUUUUCCAACCCAAACAAGAUUCCCUAGCCGUGGAACUGUCCUCAAAGAGGACCUCGGCCCUACGGUGACUCUCGGAGGCGCGUUCCGACUGUGACUCCGUGACAGAUGAGUGUCGAUCAGCAGUGAGUUUGUGGGGGCUUGACUUGCCGUCACUCGAUCGUCGGGACCGUGGCGCAUUCCAAGCAGAGACCCUCCUUCCCUCCUUCUGGCGAUCGAGCCUCAGCCGGGAUCGCUCUCCCUUGAAUUACAGUAAGAGGGAAGGCACGGCUUGCCCUCGACCCAGGAAGCCACAGGACCUUCCACAGAACCUCUGAGUGAAGAACAGGCCCCAAGGUGCCUUUCCAGUGGGGAAGGAAAAUCAUCCCCAAAUUCAAGUAAAAUUCUGAAAAACCUCCACCUUUGGGAUGUCUUGCAAGGUCGCCGUCACCCCGGAGUGUAGUGGCGCCAAGUAUUAGGAAAGGAACCUACCUACUAAAUUCUCUUUGCUCUGCUUCUCCGGUGGGGGAGCCGCAGCAUCCAUGUCAUGCUGGAGCAAUCCCGGGAGCCGUCCGGCCGUCCUAGGGGCCGAAGCGGCCUCGACCUCGCGGGCUCAGCUCAGCUCGGUGGGUGAGGAGAGGCAGAGGAGAAAGGUGGAUGGAGUCAGAGCUGUUUGUUCCCAACUGCGGUCUCCCGGGGGGAAGUUGCCCUGGUGAAGGGAGCCUGUUUACCUAAACAGAGAGGAACCGCGCCGUCCGUCGGCUGGGCCGGCCCGCCCCGCUGCCGAGGAUGCCGGGAACGGUGCCUGCCGGGGAACGGCGGGAGCGGGAAAAGGUCUACGAAGGGAGAGGGAGGGCCUCCCCCCGAUCUCAGCUGGAAAUGCCGUUGGGCUCCAGCCCCUUUUCAUUUCUGUCCGUCUUCCCCUUCUCUGCCUAAUCACGUCUGUCCAGCGGGUUUACUGUCUCUGUCCUAAAUCACACUCUUGGGAAGUGAUGGGGGAGCCAAAGACCCAAGCGCAAACGUCUCUGGGCUCCAGGCUGCUUUUCCCAAUUCCUCUCCCGACGGAUCCCCCUUUCUCUAAACUCCUUGCUGGGAUGGGAGACGAUCUCAUCUCUCUCCUCCUCUACAGGAGGGUGGACGGACAGAGACCGAACCGAAGCACGUAAAAGGUCUGACUCCGGCAGAGCUUACCAGUCACCUUACCAGGGUGAGGGUCGGAAGGAAGACGACGGGGACCCAGACAACAGAAGGGGCCGCCUUGCCCGGGCACCCCUCAGGCUCUCUCCCAGCCAUCUCCGGCCUCGGCCACCGUCCCGCUCCGGGGAUCCGGGGGCGAGCUCACCCGAAGCAGACCGAAGCAGAAAGGGAGAGGCAGAUCGAGAGUCCGAAAAGCGGGAGCUAAAGAAUCGGCGGGCACGGCCCAUCCCGAAUGCUACCCCAAGCCGGUUACCUCCUCACCCACCGGGCUACAGUGGAACAGGCAGCUGCCCACGGCCUCGCUGUCUGAGCGGUUGACGGAUCGAUCCGCCGUCAAGUAUGGGGGCUCGAGUGAGUCCGUGGCUCAUCGACUUAAACGCGGAACCGAGUGGCCCGUAUACCUCCGGCCGAGUCCGAAUCUCGCUCUCCUGUCUGAGCCGGACUCUGAGUCUCUCCAGGCCUCGUCUGACAGUCUGCCGGUCCCGUAACUGAGUUCGGCCGAGGCAUCUAGCCGGGGCGCCCGAGGGCCCCCGGAGAGCUUCCACGGCUCACCUGGCAGAGGAGGGUCCAGCACCUCGGCCUUCUCCCGGCUGAUCGUCGAGUCACGGGCCGUCCUCACCUGCGAAUCUUCUCGGGUGCCAAGGUUCCAAUCCCGUCUUUCGACUCAACGGGCUGAGGGCGUCGCCAGAAGUCCUUAAAUCCCCCCGAGAGGAGCUCCGCUACAUAGCUUCCCGUGUCUCGAGCCGCCCGGCGCCGUCCUCACGCGAUCUGGGCUUGUUCCGAAGGAGGGAGGUCAAGAGCCCGCUGGCUCUCUUCACUGCCACCCGCUCUGGGACAGGCCCGUCUGCAAGGAGAACGGCGUUCCCGGGGUGGACGGGUAGCUGGGGAACCCGUCGGGCUGCGCGGGGUAACUCUCCAGGGCCGAAGCCGAAUGAACCUGAAUCAGAGAAAACGGACCGUUUUCGUUAGGGGAGGAGGUGGCGGGGAGGUCUCGGCCGGGAGGAGGAGAGAAGACGGACGACGCUUGGAGAAUCCAGUCCCGCAGUUCAAAGGACAUUCUCUAUUUCUAACGAGAGAUGAUAAUUAAAAGUAAUAACUAC